Molecule: long non-coding RNA, 752 nt
Organism: Aedes aegypti (yellow fever mosquito)
Lineage: Eukaryota; Metazoa; Arthropoda; Insecta; Diptera; Culicidae
Exons: 2
Source: RefSeq, a predicted model, not a curated record
GUUUUCGACAGCCUGUGAAAAAAAAAACAAAACAUCAACCGCUUGAACGUUUUUGCGGUCGAUUUUACAAAUCCUAGUAGAAUUAUGGAAUUAAUAAGUUUUAAAGUUAUUUGAAUACAUCCUUGUGGACGAUUACGUGACAAACAGUAUUUUGCUGAAUUCCUCAUCUCAAAUGCAACGCAGGUACCACCGUUGGAAGCAAACAAAUUGCUGCAAAACCAGCCUGCAAAAUGACUUGUGUUGUCGUCUGCAUGAGCUCUGUCAGCAACAAAAUUGAUCGUUGAUAGGAAAAAUGGAAUUGGACCAACUAAAACCAGUGGCAGGACUGGUCCAGCUGGAAACCUUUUUGUGAUGUAUUCUGCCGGAUGUCGUUCAAAGCUCAUCUCGCCACACGGCUCAGCUGGAAGUUUUAUGCGCGCAUCGACCUGAGAUGUAUGGCAAGAGUUUUACAUGUCAGCCCGGCCCGGCGGAAGGUUUUCUCUCGAACGAAGAGCUACAGUGAUGGUGCAUCUGGUGCAUGAUAAAUUUAGAAUUAUGUGAUGAAUAAUAGUGUUUAUGAUGUUUUUAUCACUACAGAGUGGUGAAAAUAGUGUAAUAUAAAUUAAAAUAGUGACAGUGUCGGUCAGUUAAUUACUGCUACUUUUAUAUAUUGCUACGUUCGGAACGUGUGACAGAUUAUUAGGUUCAGGUUGCAGUUAUGUACUUAAUAUGAUCGGAUAAUUAAAUUGUGAUAGAUAUUUUUUCGACCUAUA